UGCGUCAUCAUCAUCUAGGAAAGCAGAACCACUGCGCUAGCUUGUGGGGGAGAACAGGAAGUCUCGUUCACGAAGCAAAAGUUAAGCGUUAAACCCAAACCACAGUCACUUGGAGGCACUUCUCUCUUUAUGGAGACAAAGAACAACACUUUAUAAACCAGUCUGAUAAAAACCAUUAUAAAGGGAGUCCAAAGAAUAUAAAAAUAAAAGGCUUUCUAUUCUAUUCUAUUUCUAUUCUAAAAAUGUUAAAAUUGACCAUCAAUCAAUAAUUCAAAUACAUUUGACAUUAGAAAUAUAGUCGUUUUUCUAAAAUCUGCUAAGUUAACCUGAUGGAAGAUCUUAAAAGUGUCUUCCUUUCAUGGUUAAUCAAGAUCAACUUUAAGAAGCCCAAGAAAAUGUAGCAUUUGGAUUAUAGUUGAGUAGGCUACAUGAAUAUAAAUCACCAAAACAGUGUGUGUGUGUUUAUAUAUACUUGUGUGUGUAGUCCGUGCGUGUGUGUGUUAACAUCUGCGUGUGUGUGUUCAUAUCUGAGUAAGUGUGUGUGUUCAUAUCUGCGUGUGUGUGUGUGUGUGUGUGUGUGUGUGUGUGUGUGUGUGUGUGUGUGUUCAUAGAUGCGUGUGCGGGUGUACAUGUGUCUGUGUGUAUAUUUGAGUGUUUAUAAUAAGGUGUGUGUGUGCACGUGGCGCGUGUUCAUAUGUACGUGAGUGUGUGUGUGUUCAUAUAUAUGUUUGUUUGUUUGUGUUCAUAUACGUGUGUGUGUGUGUGUGUAUAUGUGUUUGUAUUCCUGUAUAGGCCUAUGUGUUUGUGUAUGUGUGUUUAUAUAUGCGUCUGUGCAUGCGCGCAUGUUUAUAUAUGUGUGUCUUUAUUAGGGCUGGCAGUUUAACGUUAUUAACAGCAUUAACGCAAACCAAUUUUAACUGCGUUCAUUUUUUUAACGCGCGAUUAACGCUCUUUUGGCUUGCCAAACGUUGUAGUUGUUUCACCUGCUGUCUAGCAACAACUAGUCACAUUAGAAAAACUACAACAACAUACCGGAUCUAGCUACACCGGAAACCAAACAACAAGAACGCCGCACAAACUUGUUGGGGCAAGCAAGGAUACGGAGCGGGUGAAAAACUCCUUUAAAGUGUCUGUGUGUUUGUGUGUCACUCUGUUCAAGCCUGAUUGUUUAGACUGGGACCUGGGGUUAUACCACGAACCUCGCUGAACAUACCCAGGCUUUCUUGGGGAAACCUGGCUCGACAGCCGCAACUCGCAGUCAGAGUUAAAUGGUUCCACGACGCUCACUUUAGAUUCAAUUAGUUGAACCAGGUUUUCCGCUUUAGGUUCAAUGCGCGUUCACAAAAGGGGCGUUUCUCGCGUCAUUUGACUCUCUCUUAUGCAAAAUUAAUCGAUCGAGAGCGGUGUAUUUCACCCAAGGCGAGCAGUGUAUUAUUAUGAACUCCUACGAGGAAUUCAAAGUUCAAAUCACAGCCAAGGGGAACACGGUUGCCCAUAAUAUGGCUAGGGUGGCGUGCUGGCAAAAAAUAGCCGACCGUGUUAAUUCGAAAGUGAAAAGAUUCUGCAUAUUGUCUGAAAAAUAUCAUGCAUCAUCAUGCCUUUUAUCCCCAUAGAUGUGUUGCCAGCACGCUCCUACGAACAUGGGGCCGUCAAAAAUAAAUAUUAAAAUAUUAUUCAAUGCGGGAAGUUGUAAGCAUCCAUUUGAAUAAUUUCAGGUGAAUCUAGCCUAUGAUUUGCAAUGACCAUAGGCUCCAACCUUUAGUCACAUGUUGAUUACCUGUAGCAAAUAAAAAGAAAACCCAAAUGAAUACGACUGGGAGGGGGACCGCUCCACCGCCCUUCACCACUUCGGAGGAGCUGGCUCUCGCCAAUAACGAAGGUCUGCCGAUGAUGGUGGAAGGGGGGAUGACCUCUGACCCCACUGCCUCGACUUCCAAGGCGUUUGUAAUGAGUAUGUAUUCAUGUAUUGGCAAUGGACAUAAAUAAUUGUCAUGCUAAUCAAAUGUGAAAUGAUUGAGUGUAAAUUAAUUGUGUCAUUUUUAGUUUAAGGUACAAACAUUAUUUUGGAGGAGCCGCCGACAAUCCAUCUCCAAUCAGAGGAGACUGUCGGCCUGUGACUCCAGGGCGACUAUGGAGGGGAUUUUUCUUAACAAUUCUCACAGCUAUAAUAUGAAUUUGUAGAAUAAAAAAAGCCUAGGCCUAAUUGUGUCACUGACAUAGCAGUUAUGUAAGGGAUAAUGGACAACACGGCGCUUGACUAUCCAAGGUUAAUGUACGUUGAACGUGUGGGGCCACCAUUGAACCUGAAACACAGACACACUGCGCAACAGUAAAUGCACGGCUCCUUUGUGUAGCAUUGCCUACAUACGGUCCAACAAGGACAAUCAAAUAACGAAUAACCUCUGAGAGUCUGUAUCUAUCAUAAAGAAUAUCGUCAGACAAUGCCAAGGGAUCGGUUCUGUCCCGAAAAACCCUCCGUCUCCGAAGAGACGCCUGUACGAUAAGUGCGCCGAGGUCCACGGGAACACCCACAAAUGGUGACGUCAUUGUCGGAGAAGGGGCUAGGAAGCUGUGCGCGACGAUUUAAAUAGCCGAUCUCCGGGUAGACUAAGCUGAAAACCUGCUCCCGACCAAGUUUGGUUGCGAGCAUAAGUCACCAUGGUGAUACAGCAACGCUAAAAGAGAUCGACUUUCGUGGUCCAGCUAACCCAGGCUUUGCGCUCAACAUACCUCGCUAACCCUCUAAUCGAGCUUCGUAGUACAGGCCCCAGGUGUCGUUUGUCUGCAAAUAACUCUGCCUCCAGCAACAGGAUUGGUCGAAACGUAUGAAGUGAAUGAAAUAAAAGCCCAGUUCACCAGAUCUGAGGUCUGAGGUAAUUAACCACCUGGAACUUGGUGCGUUUCCUGGAGCUCCGAGGACGGCAGGACGGGUGUUUACCUGGUCGAUAAGACUCUGAACCCAGAACCUAAACCCAGACAUCCUAAACACAGACCCUGAACCCAGAACCCAUUGGCGUCACUAUGCUGUUUUAUUCGGGGCUAAAGCCCCAGAUAUUAUUUAAUUAGCCCUGAGUAUAAUUUCUGGGUGAAAUAAAUAAAAGAAAUUACAAAGAUUUAUAAGUAGCCUAGCCUAGAUAGUCCAUAUGGCAAGAGAAUGAACAGUUUAAAAAUAUAACCUGUUUACCACCUCAAGUGAAUUAACCUCUCCUAUCCCCAGUCAGAUCCGUGUGUGUACGUGUGUAAGGUCUGUCUCACUUGUAUUCAUUUUACUCUGAAAUAACUUGAAUGGAACUUAAGAUGUUGGGGAUGAGCAGCACAGCAGUCAGGCAGCUGUUUAAAGCUAUGAUAAACUGUGUGUUUUGUUUAUUUAGGGAAAGCAUUAUGAAAAAAUGUGCAUGCAAAAUAAUUGCAUUUUCCCUCUGGCCUAAGCCCCGGAUGUUUAUGAAACUUAGAAACACCCCUGUUCUUUUACUGUAAAGGAGAUAGGCCUAUUUAAGUCACUAUUUGAGGCAUCAAAUGAAAUUAGACAAUCAAGCACUUACAUCACAAUCAUUUAUUUGAUACAUAUAUACACACACUAUAUAUCUGUACAUCUAUAUAGUCUGUAUAGUAUAUAUAUAGCUCUGGAUAUACCACCAUCCAGGUUGCCCAUCAGUUUGUGGAGGGAGGAUAUUAGCACACACACAACAGUGGAGUCUCCAUCACCUCUUCAUCAGUGUGUGGAGGGAGGAUAUGACCACACACACAACAGUGGAGUCUCCAUCACCUCUUCAUCAGUGUGUGGAGGGAGGAUAUUACCACACACACAACAGUGGAGUCUCCAUCACCUCUUCAUCAGUGUGUGGAGGGAGGAUAUGACCACACACACAACAGUGGAGUCUCAAUCCGUGUGUCUAAAGUAAGUUUGGUUUUCAUAAAUCCUAUCAUUACUAGUCCCAUCUUUGUCCACUGGGUGGCGCUUUAGAGACUGAUUCAACUUGUGCUCCAGCAGCUGCUCUGUGUGGAGAAGCUUUAAGGUAGAACCUUAACACUAACUUAACCUCUUUGUUAUUCACUUUAUGUCCCCUCUUUGUGGUUCCAGUCUUUACUAAAGGCCUUAGCUGUUCAACCCCAUAACAGCAAGUUAAUGAAUAACUAAUAUCUCUGACAAUUUGACCCAGUUAUAAGAUCACCUGAAGUAACUGAUUAACUAAUAUCACAGACUAUUGAGCCCAGUUGUAAGAUAAGCUAAUGAAUAACUUAUAUGUAUGACUGUAGGAGCCAAUUCCUUUGCAUCGUGUGUGUGUGUGUGUGUGUGUGUGUGUGUGUGUGUGUGUGUGUGUGUGUGUGUGUGUGUGUGUGUGUGUGUGUGUGUGUGUGUGUGUGUGUGUGUGUGUGCAUGGCCUUGUACUAACCUAUUUAAAU
Molecule: long non-coding RNA, 4404 nt
Organism: Gadus chalcogrammus (walleye pollock)
Lineage: Eukaryota; Metazoa; Chordata; Actinopteri; Gadiformes; Gadidae
Exons: 2
Source: RefSeq, a predicted model, not a curated record